RNAcentral lists this ribosomal RNA (880 nucleotides) under uncultured Chlamydiae bacterium. Its description in RNAcentral is "bacterial SSU rRNA". It matches the Rfam family "Bacterial small subunit ribosomal RNA", at positions 28 to 916 of the family's 1533-position model. The record is from RNAcentral. Lineage: Bacteria; Pseudomonadati; Chlamydiota; Chlamydiia.
AGUGAACGCUGGCGGCAUGGAUAAGGCAUGCAAGUCGAGCGGUAGUCCUGGCUUCGGCCGGGGCGAGAGCGGCGAAAGGGUGAGUAACGCGUGAGCAACCUGCCCCCGAGUCCGGGAUAGCCACUCGAAAGGGUGGGUAAUACCGGAUGUGGCGUCUGGUCGAAUGGCCGGAUUGCUGAAGGCUUCGGUCGCUCGGGGAGGGGCUCGCGUCCCAUCAGCUUGUUGGUGAGGUAACGGCUCACCAAGGCGACGACGGGUAGCUGGUCUGAGAGGAUGGUCAGCCACACUGGGACUGAGACACUGCCCAGACUCCUACGGGAGGCUGCAGUCGAGAAUCUUCCGCAAUGGGCGCAAGCCUGACGGAGCGAUGCCGCGUGGGGGAUGAAGGCCUUCGGGUUGUAAACCCCUGUCAGGAGGGACGAAGUGUGUGACGGUACCUCCAGAGGAAGCCACGGCUAACCACGUGCCAGCAGCCGCGGUAAGACGUGGGUGGCGAGCGUUACUCGGAUUUACUGGGCGUAAAGGGUCCGCAGGGGGUCUGCCAAGUCCGGUGUGAAAUCCCGCGGCUCAACCGCGGAAUGGCGCCGGAAACUGGCGGACUGGAGUGCACGAGGGGAGAGCGGAAUUCCCGGUGUAGCGGUGAAAUGCGUAGAUAUCGGGAGGAACGCCGAUGGCGAAAGCGGCUCUCUGGCGUGCUACUGACCCUCAUGGACGAAAGCGUGGGGAGCGAACAGGAUUAGAUACCCUGGUAGUCCACGCUAUAAACGGUGCGCACUCGGUGUGGGCGGUUCCUUCCGGUCCCGUCCGUGCCCAAGCCAACGCGUUAAGUGCGCCGCCUGGGGACUACGGCCGCAAGGCUAAAACUCAAAGGAAUUGACGG